GAUGAACGCUGGCGGCGUGCCUAAUACAUGCAAGUCGAGCGAAUGGAUUGAGAGCUUGCUCUUAUGAAGUUAGCGGCGGACGGGUGAGUAACACGUGGGUAACCUGCCCAUAAGACUGGGAUAACUCCGGGAAACCGGGGCUAAUACCGGAUAACAUUUUGAACCGCAUGGUUCGAAAUUGAAAGGCGGCUUCGGCUGUCACUUAUGGAUGGACCCGCGUCGCAUUAGCUAGUUGGUGAGGUAACGGCUCACCAAGGCAACGAUGCGUAGCCGACCUGAGAGGGUGAUCGGCCACACUGGGACUGAGACACGGCCCAGACUCCUACGGGAGGCAGCAGUAGGGAAUCUUCCGCAAUGGACGGAAGUCUGACGGGGCAACGCCGCGUGAGUGAUGAAGGCUUUCGGGUCGUAAAACUCUGUUGUUAGGGAAGAACAAGUGCUAGUUGAAUAAGCUGGCACCUUGACGGUACCUAACCAGAAAGCCACGGCUAACUACGUGCCAGCAGCCGCCGUAA
RNAcentral lists this ribosomal RNA (515 nucleotides) under uncultured bacterium. Its description in RNAcentral is "partial 16S ribosomal RNA". It matches the Rfam family "Bacterial small subunit ribosomal RNA", at positions 28 to 523 of the family's 1533-position model. The record is from RNAcentral.